Molecule: ribosomal RNA, 490 nt
Filed under: uncultured bacterium
Lineage: Bacteria
Description: partial 16S ribosomal RNA
Rfam family: Bacterial small subunit ribosomal RNA
Source: RNAcentral
AUUGAACGCUGGCGGCAGGCCUAACACAUGCAAGUCGAACGGUAACAGGAAGAAGCUCGCUUCUUUGCUGACGAGUGGCGGACGGGUGAGUAAUGUCUGGGAAACUGCCUGAUGGAGGGGGAUAACUACUGGAAACGGUAGCUAAUACCGCAUAACGUCGCAAGACCAAAGAGGGGGACCUUCGGGCCUCUUGCCAUCGGAUGUGCCCAGAUGGGAUUAGCUAGUAGGUGGGGUAACGGCUCACCUAGGCGACGAUCCCUAGCUGGUCUGAGAGGAUGACCAGCCACACUGGGACUGAGACACGGUCCAGACUCCUACGGGAGGCAGCAGUGGGGAAUAUUGCACAAUGGGCGCAAGCCUGAUGCAGCCAUGCCGCGUGUAUGAAGAAGGCCUUCGGGUUGUAAAGUACUUUCAGCGGGGAGGAAGGGAGUAAAGUUAAUACCUUUGCUCAUUGACGUUACCCGCAGAAGAAGCACCGGCUAACUCCGUG